AUGUUCCCAAAUUCUUUGGAGGACAUGGACCUGGCUGUUCGCACGGCGCUGCUGGGCUUGAAGUUCGUGUAUGUUGGCGCCGUCAAAGUCAAGAGUGAGCUCCCAAGCACAAUCAAGGCAUACCGAUUUCAACAGCACAGGUGGUCAUGUGGACCAGCAAACUUGUUCAAGAAAAUGUUGAUAGAGAUUCUACAGAACAAGAAAGUGUCAUUUUGGAGCAAACUCCACCUGUUGUAUGACUUCUUCUUCGUUGGGAAGAUUGCUGCUCAUACAGUGACAUUCAUCUACUAUUGCUUUGCGAUCCCAGUGUCCGUUUUCUUCCCUGAGAUUCAGAUAUCUCUCUGGGGCAUGGUCUACGUUCCAACUGUUAUCACCCUCUGUAAGGCUCUUGGAUCCAGUGGUUCAUUUCAUCUGGUGAUCGUUUGGGUCCUCGAUAAUGUGAUGUCAUUGCACCAGAUAAAGGCCACAAUAACUGGUCUUCUUGAUGCUAGACGAGUCAAUGAGUGGGUGGUCACUGAGAAAUUGGGAGAUGCCAACAAGGCAGAGCCAGCCAUGGAAGGAUUAAAUGAUGUGCAAGUGAUAGACGUCGAGCUAACGACGCCCCUAGUACCAAAGCUCGAGAAGAGGCGAACACGAGUAUGGGACAAGUACAACUGCUCAGAGAUUUUUGUUGGAACCUGCAUAAUUAUAUGUGAGUGCUACGACAUGAUUUACGCAAAGAAAGGAUACUACAUCUACCUCUUCAUUCAAGGCCUAGCAUUCCUCGUCGUCGGUUUUGAGUACAUCGGCACAUGCCCUCCCAGCGCCGAAUAA
This 813-nucleotide ribosomal RNA is filed under the name Triticum aestivum (bread wheat). RNAcentral's name for it is "partial small subunit ribosomal RNA". Lineage: Eukaryota; Viridiplantae; Streptophyta; Magnoliopsida; Poales; Poaceae. The record is from RNAcentral.